GACAACAGCUAAGCCCAGUUACGGCUGUUUUUUUAAUGCAUAGAUGCCAAAUCAUGAGUCUCAAGGCUUGCUAAUUAGCCCCAUGAUUGGCGUCCUCGUUACAAAAAUGGUUAAUUUGCUCGGCAGCGUGUCUCAUACAAAAGAGGAUCCAUCCUUUGAAGGCAAAGCUUUUAUCCUUUUCAAACACGUCCUCAAGUUAUCAACUUCAACACAACAUCAAGGCCUGCUUUUGUUGGAAUAAUUUAACACUAAUAGUUCACGAAUGCUGCCACCACUCCUGUUGCUGAGCUGUCAGUGGCUGCAGAGACGUUUGGUUCAAAGGCAGUGCCAGCGUGCAAUGAACUUGGGCUCCUUCUUAGUUUAAAAAGUUGGGGUUUUAGGUUUUUCUCCCCCCUUUCUCUUGUGGUCUGAUGGGGGGCGGCCCCAGGGCUGUCUGUGCGUGAGGUGAUGGGCAAAGCUCAAGGAAGAGCUCGUGCACAUAAGGAGAGGGUAGGAAUCACUGCCUGCAGCAGCACAAUGCGUUGGAAGGUGGAUGGAGCAGUGAGAAGCAGCACUGCAGGAGCCAGCUCCAGCUGCAGACCUCUGCCAAUUAGCAUCAAUUACAGCAGUGCAGUGUCCUCUCAUAGGCAAAGGAGCUGAGCUGACGGGCAGUGGGGGCCUGGAAGCAGAAAGGUGCAGGAGAUCCCAACCCUAUGGCAACCAGAUCCUACUGCAGCUCCCCACGGCGGAUGGAUGCUUUUGUCACCAUGCACAACAACAGGACCAACGCACACACACACAGACUUUAUUUUGCUUCUCCUUGAGGCCAUUUGCUCUGAAAAAGAGCAGAGCUCCCACUGCACGCUGCCCCAGCUGUCACCCAUUGGUAGUGUGUGAGACGUGGCCCCGCAGUGCCACCGCAUCGUCUGCAGACAGCGGCUGUCUGUUCACAAAUUAUCACACCUACUCCAUCCUUUUCAGGUAUAAGCAGUAAUUUGGCUUUUGGAGAGAAGGAAAAAAAAAAAAAAAAGAAAGAAAGAAAGAAAGAAAGAAAGCGUGGAAAGGGGAAAAUCAUCUUGAGCAAGAAAUAACUAAAAAUGUGCAAAACAGAAUGAAAAUGACACUUCAGCUUUAACAUCACAUCAUUAGCAAGAUAUUUUAUCAUGCAAUUCAUCUGCCUACCUACCUGCUUCCCAAACCACAAUGUUCCCCUCAGAGUUCUGUUCCUCUUUUGCAAUGAACCAUAAAUUACAUGCUGACAGCUUUAAUUUGUGCAAAGUAUGCCUGGUUGCUUCUGGCACAAGCAGCCGGCUGCUAUAAUAAGGUCAAUAUAUAUUCAUUGUCGCAUUGCUUGAUGUGCCAGAUAACACAAAAAUGCAGAAAUGUGGUAGUUUCU
Molecule: long non-coding RNA, 1375 nt
Filed under: Phasianus colchicus (ring-necked pheasant)
Lineage: Eukaryota; Metazoa; Chordata; Aves; Galliformes; Phasianidae
Description: lncRNA (ENSPCLG00000005412.1)
Source: RNAcentral